UUCCUGUUAACUCCUUUUAUAUGAUUAAGACAAUAAAUUAUUACAACCACACAUCCAUAUUUCAUAAACUACUCUUAUUUAAUAUCAUUAACAUUUUUUAUAUGAUCAACAUUAAGUCAAAUUCACUCGACAUCGUGGUUUCCUUUGCAAUCAAUAUUAAUCUGGUCAGAAGUUACAUAGGAAUUGGAGAUGAUAUUCAUGGGAUCAUCAAGAAAGCAAUCAAAUAAGCCAACAUAGAAGAAACGCUUCCCAAGAGAUGGCACGGCGGUCACUCUCACCACGAUCACCGGCGCCGAUCGGAGGAAGGCGAGAAGAUUUUCCGGCUCGGACUCGCCGCUGAUAUCGGAUUAGCUGCCGGUAAAGCAUUGACCGGUUAUGUCUCCGGGAGUACCGCAAUUAUCGCUGAUGCAGCUCAUUCUCUGUCUGAUGUGUUCGUAUGGUCGAGCCACGAAACAUAAAUGGUGUCAGAGUCAACGGAGGUUAUGAGUCCGAAUGCUCACGGCUGUCAAAGCUCAUAUCUACAGAAAUACAAUUAAAAACAAGAAAAACAGGUAGCAUGAUCAUACAAGAUGGGACGUUUCUCUUUUCGGACAUUAAGUAUUAUUGUCUAAACUUCCGGAGACAUUUUCAUGUCUUUCGGUUAGAUAAUAAGCUUUUUGAAUGAAAGAAACUCCUCGGAGUAUUGUUGUA
This is a long non-coding RNA of Daucus carota subsp. sativus, 690 nucleotides long. RefSeq lists it as uncharacterized. NCBI's taxonomy places the organism in Eukaryota, Viridiplantae, Streptophyta, Magnoliopsida, Apiales, Apiaceae. The record is from RefSeq and is a predicted model, not a curated record. The transcript has 2 exons.